RNAcentral lists this non-coding RNA (21 nucleotides) under Arabidopsis thaliana (thale cress). The record is from RNAcentral. Lineage: Eukaryota; Viridiplantae; Streptophyta; Magnoliopsida; Brassicales; Brassicaceae.
UAUGUUACCAUUCAUAGCCUA